Molecule: long non-coding RNA, 861 nt
Organism: Stegodyphus dumicola
Lineage: Eukaryota; Metazoa; Arthropoda; Arachnida; Araneae; Eresidae
Source: RefSeq, a predicted model, not a curated record
UGCGUAUUUAUUGGGGUGAUUUUUGGUAGUGGUAGUAAACGAUUUAGCAUCUUUUGUGAACAGAACGUGUUGUUUCGUUAAUAUGUUUUCAGAAUUCUGAUAAUUUUGUGUUACAUUUUACGCUUAUGAAAUAUUUUACACGAUAUUCGAAAGUUGAUUUUAGGUAUCGUUAAUUAAAAUCGUAGUUUUGAUAUGAGCGAUUCUGUUUUGUGACAUUGUUAACAAAGCAAAGGUCUCCAGGGCUAUCUGCCUAAGGUGAAAAUGCCUUCGUGAAGCAAUUUCUAAGGGAAAUUGGGUGGAAUUGGAAAACAACAAAACUCCCUGCUGCCAGCCCAUUCUCUAGAACUGAAUUAUCAGCGUUAAGUAACUUCACUGCUCUGCCACUGGUGGUCUGUUAUAUUUAGGACUGAAAUGGAUUAGUUAGAAGGGAGUAAUAAGUAAUUUUCUUCAAUGUAUGGCUGAAAGAUAUAACUUCUGGUUUGAGCAGACAAUUUACAAUCAAAGUCUUCACAUUAUGUGUUAGAGAGCAAAUUACUUUAAAAAUGCAUCCUAUGCUGUAAAGGGACCUGUUUCCGCUCUGCACCGGUUCACUCCUGCUUAAAGGUGGUUAGUGCGGAGACCUGAUCGACUUAGGGAGACUUUGAGGACAGAACUUCCCAACCUCGUGCCGUCCAGCAGCCCAGACCUCCAAAGCAGCUGGAUUACAGCACCACGCCACCAUUGCUGGUUUCAUAUUAUUCAUAUUAUUCCCAAAUGAAGUUGGAUCUUCCAGAUCAUAUGCUUUCAUUCCAAACUUUGUAUUGAACUCAGCUUAACUCAGUUAUUGAUUUUGUGUCUUUAGGAUUUCUAGUAAGUUUACUU